Molecule: microRNA precursor, 101 nt
Filed under: Marmota monax (woodchuck)
Lineage: Eukaryota; Metazoa; Chordata; Mammalia; Rodentia; Sciuridae
Source: RNAcentral
AGUGGAAUUGCUGGGUAAUAUGCUAUUUUUAUGUGUUUCAUUUUGAGGAGCUGCUAAAUUGCUUCCAGUGUAGCUGCAACAUUUUACAACCCCAGGGCAAU